RNAcentral lists this long non-coding RNA (444 nucleotides) under Homo sapiens (human). RNAcentral's name for it is "HSALNT0355044". The record is from RNAcentral. Lineage: Eukaryota; Metazoa; Chordata; Mammalia; Primates; Hominidae.
AGGCAAAGCCGGGAGAAACUGCUGAGACGAGGUUAGGAUUUAACCUUUAAAUUCUGGAGCCAUCGGAAACCGAGGGGAGGACGACGGGUGUCGGUGCUAAUGAGGCUGGGGGCGGGCGAUGCGCGGUGGGCCUCCGAGUCCGGGGCAGGUCUCGGGGGUUCCCCGGGGAAGGCCCUGGGAGCCCUUGGCCCUGGCGGCCUCCGCCAUCAGACUGGGAAUGUCUCUGAUUGGGUGGCCAGGAGGCGGUGGCCCUCCUCCCCGCCCAGCUGAGGGGUGUCGUCUUCCGCGAAGUUAGGGUCUCACCUGGGAGGCAAGGAGGGAGGGGGCUGCCUGAGGCCCUGGGCCCCUCCGGGACUGGCGCACCCCGUCUCACCCACAUUCCUUCGCCUUUCCCUGCCCAGUGUGGAUUUCCAAAACCCAUCCCCGCUCCCCUCCUUCCUUCAC